GCCAUAGCUUCAUGAUGGAGCGUCUACUUUAUACACAGAAGGUCCCAGGUUCAAUCCCUGGUAUCUUCA
Molecule: non-coding RNA, 69 nt
Organism: Podarcis lilfordi (Lilford's wall lizard)
Lineage: Eukaryota; Metazoa; Chordata; Lepidosauria; Squamata; Lacertidae
Source: the annotation of a GenBank genome assembly